This 441-nucleotide ribosomal RNA is filed under the name Triticum aestivum (bread wheat). RNAcentral describes it as "partial small subunit ribosomal RNA". Lineage: Eukaryota; Viridiplantae; Streptophyta; Magnoliopsida; Poales; Poaceae. The record is from RNAcentral.
AUGCCAGUUUCACGCCAAGCAAAUCCACCAGCCUGCGCAGGGCCUCCAGACAAUCCCGCUCACAUGGCCGUUCGCGGUCUGGGGGCUGGACAUCUUGGGGCCGUUCCCUCGAGCGCCAGGGGGCUACCGGUACCUCUACGUUGCCAUCGACAAGUUCACCAAGUGGGCGGAGGUAGAAGCCGUGCGCACCAUUCCAGCUGGAUCGGCCGUCAAGUCCAUCAAGGGAAUCGUGAGCCGGUUUGGGCCCCCAACCGCACCAUCACUGACAACGGCUCGCAAUUCACUAGCAACAUUUUCAAAACAUACUGUGCUAACCUUGGAACGCAGAUAUGCUACGCCUCAGUGGCACACCCACGGAGCAAUGGUCAGGCCGAGCGGGGCAAUGCAGAAGUCCUGAGGGGCCUCAAGACCAGGACCUUCAAGAAGAAGCUCAUGAAAUAG